ACAAACUUGGUCAUUUAGAGGAAGUAAAAGUCGUAACAAGGUUUCCGUAGGUGAACCUGCGGAAGGAUCAUUAACGAGCGUAAGACCGGCCCCCCCCGCGUCGGCACUCACCAGCCCAGUGAUGAAACGACCCUGAAGCCCCUGUUUCGUCGGCGGGCUGUAGGCGCCCACCCGCCGACGUUCGGCACCCCUCACCCCCAGCGUCUCGAGGGAGACGGGAGAACGGAGGCCUGAACAUUCCAGAAGAGAAGCGAAGAAAAAACUUUCAACAACGGAUCUCUUGGUUCCAGCAUCGAUGAAGAACGCAGC
This 309-nucleotide unclassified non-coding RNA is filed under the name uncultured fungus. Its description in RNAcentral is "partial contains small subunit ribosomal RNA, internal transcribed spacer 1, and 5.8S ribosomal RNA". The stretch from base 1 to 73 matches the Rfam family "Eukaryotic small subunit ribosomal RNA", at positions 1759 to 1831 of the family's 1831-position model. Lineage: Eukaryota; Fungi. The record is from RNAcentral.